AACAAUCCCUGUUUUCACUGAUGAAGGCUUGCUGACCUCUUGCUGGCCUCCAGUUCCUUAAUUACUGUCUAUGGAAUUUCAGUGAAAGAAAAAAAUACAGAGAAUCUCUGCAAAGCCAGGACGAAGAGUGACCCUCAAACACCACCACUAGAGUGGAGGCUGUGUCUAUAGGAAAUUUUCAGUGCUACAAAAGAACAUAAAUAAGAACUGGAAAGAGAAAUGCUGGUCCAGAAGUGGUGGCUUUAUGAAGUACUGUAGUGUGAAUUUAAAGUUCUCUGCCUAGGCUGAGCUGUGAUCUCCCUUCCCAAGAAACAGACUCUGAGAUGCUCAAACUCUACUAUACAUGGACUCAAAAGUCUUUAACACUCUCUCAACUGAAUCUUAUAUUUGGCAAGACUAAGAAGAUCCAGGGAGAUUUCCUAUACUUUGGCACAGGCUGUACUAUUAAUGAAUGGAGUACUCCACUGGUGCUGGAAAUCCUGCUCUCGACUUCUUGGAAAACCAAGGGUGAAACAGCAAUACACGAAACAAAAUUCACAUCAGAGAAAAAAAGGAAGAAUGAGAACCCUUCAGUGAAGGCUGUAGUCACUUAAAUUACAUUCUUAUAGUACCUUCAAACAAUCAGGCUGUUAAUGUUAACAUCCAAAGCAUGAGGAAGGAAACACCAGCAUUGGGGAAGGGGCACAAGUGGUAACCAAUGAGAGGACAAUUAAAAUUUUCUGUUGCACCACAAGGAAAGUUUAUUCAGCCUGUGUCUGCCAAAUAGGGCAGUGAAACACAUGGCUUUUGAAAUUCCUAAUUCUUGAACUGAGCAAAGCUUUGUUCUAAUUUAAUAGGCUUGGGGGCAGGGAAACCACAUUAUGGAUUAUAGCAUCUCCUGCUGGCUGAUGCAUGGAGAACAGGAAAAAGCUGGCAACACCCCCACACCCUCAAGAUGAUCCUCUUCCCUUGAAGGCAAGCAGUUUCACAGCUUCUGUUAAAAGCAACCAACAAAAACAAGGAGCGGGGGCAAACGUCUUGAGAAUUAUCUACAGUGAUUGAAUAGAGAUCCCCCACUGAAGUUAGGAGAAAUUUAGUUCAAAUCCUACCAGAAACAGCAGAGAGAGGCAACCAAGCUGUUGGCUCGAAGUGCAAAGAUGGCUUAGGAAAACAACUCUACAGAAAAGGUGCCAAAUCAUUCCAUUAGGGCAGAAAUACUGAAUCAUGUUCAAUCCUCAAGAGAUACACACAGCUUUCAGUAAUUCAACACAAGUGUAAAACACUAUCAAUAGAUUUAAGAGAGAAAUUCAUUAUCCUUCUGAGAUUUGACCAUGGUAAAUGAGAGUUUUGAGGGGCUUAUGCUACAGGUACCCUAGAGAAAAGCCUUAAGAGAAGGGAAGUUCAAGCUUAUAAAUACUAAUAAGGAAAGAUCAGACAUCUUUCAGUUGGCUAAACAAUCAGUUCAGGAGAGUCAGGAUCCUUCCUUCUCUAUUCUUUACAAAUUUUUGGUAUAACACAACAGAGUAUAAGGCAACAUCAGUUCCCCUCUGCUCCAAUGUAACUAAAGAUGGGCAUAUCUUUUUGAACACAAACAACAAAAUCUUUCUCUGCCACCAAAUAUGUUAAACAUCUCAUAAAAUGACAUUGCAUUCCUUUUUUUCAUUUAGGAAGGAGGAGCUAACUGGCUGCUGCCGUUAGCAGGAAAUUCCAUUGACAAUAAAAUAAAUAAAUCAACCAAUCGAAUCCAAAGCCUAUGAUUCAAUUAUAUGGGUUACAAAGAGCUUGAAUUUGACAGUCAAAUGUGUUCUUCUCUAAGAUUUAUCUGUGAACUUCCAGUUAGAGAACUGAAGUGGAAUAAACUACUCAGUGAAAAUGAAGAUAUCUGGAAGAAAAAAUUAAUUAAUUCAGUAUGGCACAACAUAAAGACUGUCUGGUGCCCAUAAAAACAACAGAAGUUAAACAGCUCAGAAGCAAAAAAAAAAAAAAAAAGGAAAGCUGCCUUACUGCUUAUGGAUCUGACAAAAGCCACAAACUCUGGGCUGUGAGUUUGCAAAUGCAGAGACAGAGUGUUUGAAGGCAGCAGGCAGCUAGGACUUAGCCAGAUCCUCAUCUAGAAUGUAUCAACAAGGGCUAGAAAAGCCUGAGAAACUCUACUGAUGAAUCAACAACUUCCCUCUAAAUGACCAAAAAGCUAUUUUCUGUGGAUUUUGAAACAAGGGGGAUUUCUGCCUGGGACAACUUGUGUUUCAAAAGCUCAGUGACAAAUGGGUGAGUUGUUUUAUAAAAAAAAGAGAGAUUAUACAAUAAGACUGUUGAAGUCUAUGAUUAUGAAGAUUUAAAAUGCAAGUUAAAGAUUCUCUGCAGACAGAACAGAGCAUCACUAGGCACUGAUACAUUUGCUAUUAAGGAAAUUGCCAGGUAAAUCAGGAUAUUUCAGUACUUCAAUGAAAGUAUUUAAAUAUUAAAUGACACUGGGGAGCUAUAUCACAAUUACAGGUACUUACAU
Passer domesticus (house sparrow) is the source of this 2485-nucleotide long non-coding RNA. RefSeq lists it as uncharacterized. The transcript has 4 exons. The record is from RefSeq and is a predicted model, not a curated record. NCBI's taxonomy places the organism in Eukaryota, Metazoa, Chordata, Aves, Passeriformes, Passeridae.